Molecule: ribosomal RNA, 883 nt
Filed under: Squamanita schreieri
Lineage: Eukaryota; Fungi; Basidiomycota; Agaricomycetes; Agaricales; Squamanitaceae
Description: partial large subunit ribosomal RNA
Rfam family: Eukaryotic large subunit ribosomal RNA
Source: RNAcentral
UAGUAACUGCGAGUGAAGUGGGAAAAGCUCAAAUUUAAAAUCUGGCAGCCAUUCAGGUUGUCCGAGUUGUAAUCUAGAGAAGUGUUAUCCGUGCUGGACCAUGUACAAGUCUCCUGGAAUGGAGCAUCAUAGAGGGUGACAAUCCCGUCUUUGACAUGGACUACCAGUGCUUCUGUGAUGCACUCUCAAAGAGUCGAGUUGUUUGGGAAUGCAGCUCAAAUGGGUGGUAAAUUCCAUCUAAAGCUAAAUAUUGGCGAGAGACCGAUAGCGAACAAGUACCGUGAGGGAAAGAUGAAAAGGACUUUGGAAAGAGAGUUAAACAGUACGUGAAAUUGCUGAAAGGGAAACGCUUAAAGUCAGUCACAUUGAUUGGAAAUCAGCCCUGCUUCUUUUUGCUGGGUGUACUUUUCCAGUUGAUGGGUCAGCAUCAAUUUUGAUCAUUGGAUAAAGGUAUAAGGAAUGUGGCAUUUACUUAUAAAUGUGUUAUAGCCUUAUAUUGUAUGCAAUGGUUGGGAUUGAGGAACUCAGCAUGCCAAAAGGCUGGAGAGAAAUCUCACAUUCGUGCUUAGGAUGGCUGGCACAAUGGCUUUAAUCGACCCGUCUUGAAACACGGACCAAGGAGUCUAACAUGCCUGCGAGUAUUUGGGUGGAAAACCCAUAUGCGUAAUGAAAGUGAAAGUUGAGAUCCCUGUCUGGGGAGCAUCGACGCCCGGACUUGAUGUUUUCUGACAGUUCUGCGGUAGAGCAUGUAUGUUGGGACCCGAAAGAUGGUGAACUAUGCCUGAAUAGGGUGAAGCCAGAGGAAACUCUGGUGGAGGCUCGUAGCGAUUCUGACGUGCAAAUCGAUCGUCAAAUUUGGGUAUAGGGGCGAAAGACUAAUCGA